RNAcentral lists this ribosomal RNA (946 nucleotides) under uncultured Clostridium sp. Its description in RNAcentral is "partial 16S ribosomal RNA". The record is from RNAcentral. Lineage: Bacteria; Bacillati; Bacillota; Clostridia; Eubacteriales; Clostridiaceae.
ANGNNNAACUUCCCNAAUCGCUGACCCUACCUUAGGCCGCUGGCUCCUUUCGGUUACCUCACGGACUUUGGGUAUUGCCAACUCUCAUGGUGUGACGGGCGGUGUGUACAAGGCCCGGGAACGUAUUCACCGCGACAUUCUGAUUCGCGAUUACUAGUAACUCCGGCUUCAUGCAGGCGAGUUGCAGCCUGCAAUCCGAACUGGGACGAGUUUUAUGAGUUUUGCUCCACCUCGCGGUCUUGCUUCUCUUUGUUCUCGCCAUUGUAGCACGUGUGUAACCCUAGACAUAAGGGGCAUGAUGAUUUUACGCAUCCCCCCCUUCCUUCGGUUAACCAAGGCAGUCUUGCUAGAGUGCCCAUUUUAAUGUUAGCAACUAAAUAAUGGGGGUGCGCUCGUUGCGGGACUUAAACCAACAUCUCACGAAACGAGCUGACCACAACCAUGCCCCACCUGUGUUCCUGCUCCCGAAAGAGCUUCCCCUUAUUACAGGGAAUUCCGGACAUGUCAAGUCUUAGGAAAGGGUCUUUCCCGUUUCUUCCAAAUUAAAACACAUGCUCCCGCUACUUGUGGGGGGCCCCCCCCCAUUCCUUUGAGUUUUUAAUCUUGCGACCGUACUUCCCCAGGGGGGGUAAUUUUUUUGGUUUUUCGGGGGGCAAAAGUAUUUUAAACCCCCCCACCCUAAUACCCAUCGUUUACGGGGGGGGAAAAACAAGGGGAUUUAAUCCUGGUUUGCUUCCCCACGCUUUUUUUGUCUCAUGGUCGAUUACAGUCCAAAAAAGACGCCCCUCGCCACUGGGGGUGCUUCCCUAAACUCUUCCCCUUUCUCCCGCUCAACAAGGAAUACCCCUUUUCCUCUUCCUGCCCCCCCAGAAAUUCCCGUUGGGAAAGGCAGAUCCCCCGGGUGAGACCGGGGAGUUUUAUCCCCCCUUUAUAUUUCAACCUCCCC